RNAcentral lists this ribosomal RNA (568 nucleotides) under Rhacophorus margaritifer (Java flying frog). RNAcentral's name for it is "partial 16S ribosomal RNA". It matches the Rfam family "Bacterial large subunit ribosomal RNA", at positions 1810 to 2606 of the family's 2925-position model. The record is from RNAcentral. Lineage: Eukaryota; Metazoa; Chordata; Amphibia; Anura; Rhacophoridae.
AAAACAUCGCCUCUUGACUGAUUAUAAGAGGUCCAGCCUGCCCAGUGAUAUAAUUCAACGGCCGCGGUAUCCUAACCGCGCGAAGGUAGCAUAAUCACUUGUUCUUUAAAUAAGGACUAGUAUCAACGGCAUCACGAGGGUUACACUGUCUCCUCCAUCUAAUCAGUGAAACUGAUCUCCCCGUGAAGAAGCGGGGAUUACAUAAUAAGACGAGAAGACCCCAUGGAGCUUUAAACCCUAAAGCAACUCUGACACAUAAUUCAUCAUAACCUACAGAAAUAUGCUAGACGGUUUUAGGUUGGGGCGACCGCGGAGAAAAAAUUAACCUCCACAACGAAAAGAACUAAACCUUUAUCUAAGAGCUACCCCUCUAAGAAUUAGUAUACUAACGGACAAUGACCCGAUAAUCGAUCAACGGACCAAGUUACCCUGGGGAUAACAGCGCAAUCUACUUCAAGAGCCCAUAUCGACAAGUAGGCUUACGACCUCGAUGUUGGAUCAGGGUACCCCAGUGGUGCAGCCGCUACUAAUGGUUCGUUUGUUCAACGAUUAAAACCCUACGUGAUCU